Molecule: long non-coding RNA, 3648 nt
Organism: Aedes albopictus (Asian tiger mosquito)
Lineage: Eukaryota; Metazoa; Arthropoda; Insecta; Diptera; Culicidae
Exons: 4
Source: RefSeq, a predicted model, not a curated record
UUCAGUGACAAUGGAACUAAUUUUCGUGGAGCAAGUAACGAACUGAAAGAGGAAUUAGGUGUGAUAAAUCAAAAUCUAGCAGCUUCGUUCACAAACGCCACAACAGAAUGGCGGUUCAAUCCACCAUUUGCGCCGCAUAUGGGAGGGUGCUGGGAAAGGCUCGUGCGCUCAGUGAAAUCAGCUUUAGCGGCUUUACAGAUGGAUAGGAACCCAGAUGAUGAAACUUUGUGGACUGUAGUUACUGAGGCUGAAGCCAUUGUUAAUUCCCGUCCUCUUACGUACGUUCCGUUGGAUACGGAAGACCAAGAAGCGCUAACACCAAAUCACUUCUUGAUGCUGAGUUCGAGUGGGGUUUGUCAACCUCAGAAAGAGUUGGUGGACGAUAGAAGACAGAUAAGAAGUAACUGGCGGCUGAUUCAAAAUCUUUUAAGCCAGUUUUGGAUUAGAUGGGUGAAGGAAUAUCUGCCGACGAUAACGAGACGGACGAAAUGGUUCAAGGAGACCAAACCAGUACAAAAUGGAGACGUAGUGGUGGUGGUUGACGAAGGUUCUAGGAAUGGAUGGAUACGCGGUCGAGUGGUAAGAACGUUACCAGGCAAGGAUGGCAGAGUACGGCAAGCUGAUGUUGAAACGAAUGCUGGAGUUAUCCGUAGACCUGUUGCAAAGAUAGCGAUCCUGGAUGUAGUUGAAGGUAAAGUCUGAAAGGCAUUACGGGUCGGGGAAUGUUCGCUCCGUGUUUGGUCACUACAAUCUUUUUGGCAACACGACGUUACGAGAUACGAGAAUGACAGUUGUCAACGUCAACGUUGGAGAUGAUGAAGAGGAGAAAUGUGAUGACUCAUGGAGAAAGUAAUUUUGGAAUGCUAGGUGGGAAAUUGUCGAAGAAGUUAAAAUUGAAAUUAUUGUCGGAAUAUUGUGCGGAUUAAAGUAGGAGAUUUUUUGAUUGCUGAUAAGUAUAUAUCGCUGAGGUGUGAUAAAGACCCUUGUUGAGCGACGUACCGUUACGCAGUGGCUCAUAAUUAUAGGGUAAAGGAGGAUUCAUUCAUUAACUAUUGGGUACGUUCGGAUUGGCCAAAGAGAUAUCAGUAUUUUUUUGAGCUGUCUACACCAAGAUUGCUACAGAAAUUGAUUUCCACUAGUCCGAACACCAGGCAUUAUUUCUGAAUGAGGAACGUCUACAAAUUACGUUAAGGGUGGGUGUUCGUGAUAAUCUAUAAACAAAUUUCAGAGGAGAACCAUUACAAAACGUGUGCCAGGGAGGAAAUGGAGGGUUAUAGAACGUUGAAAAUGGACAUCUUUUGCGUGACCUAAUUUAUGGAAUUUCCAAAGAAUUGAUCUUCACCUUAAGGUGAAGAUAUGAUGGAACUAAAGGCAUCCCAAAAAAAUCUGAAGGAAUAUUAUGAUUUUUUUUAUGGAAUCCCUUGGGAAUUUCAUGAAGAAUUCUAAACUCUGGACUUUCUAAAAAUAAAACGCUGGAAUCCGUGAAUAAUUCUCUAAAAUAAUAACCCGGAAGAAUUUCUGAAAUAAUCCAUAAAUAAAUUUCUUAAGCAUGGAAGGUUUUCUAGAAGAUUUCUUGGUGAAAUUUCUGGAGGUUCCCUCAAUUUCUGGAGGAAUUUCUGAAAAAAAAUCAUGGAAUAUAUUUCUUCAAGAAUGUCAUUCGUAAGUUGCCAUGAAAAUAUUUUAAUGAGAUAUGCCGAUACAGUAGACGUUAGAUAACUGCAACAUGUUAACGUUUCACUUAGCGAACGAAAUUCGGUAACUGUAACGACUAACAGAUGUCAACAAGUUGUUAAACGACAAAAAAUAACCGUGAACGUUAUCCGACUGAUAACUUGGGCUAACAUGGUGCACCAUUUUGACGUUUGGCGGUGCGAUAACUGCAAAUUUGUUGCACUUACCGGACUUGCAGUUAAAAAGUUUUGCAGUUAAACCGUUUGCACCGACCGAACGUCUACUGUAAUAUGUAAGAGAAUGUGUUUGUGGACCUCAUGAAAAUGCUUCCAAAAAGGUUGCUGAUUAUCCAUUAUGGUUUACAAAAAAGAAGUGCUUAUAAAAUAAGCGAGGAACUUCAAAGUAAUGCAGUAAGAAAUCAUUAGUAGAAUUCAUACACAAUAUAGCAGAAGAUCGAAUAUUGAGCUCAAAAAUAUGCCUAAUAUGCACGAUGAAAAAGUACAAAUUCUUUAAAAAAUACCACUUUUAUUGCUAUCAGGUUUAAAAAGAUGGUUCUUGAAAUGCUGGCGAAAAAAACCUUUGUCGUUUUCUCAUCGGCGUGGGAAAUUUCGAUCGGCGGUGUGGAAAAAUAUGAACAGCGGCACGCCGGGUCAACUUGAUUGGCGGCGGCGGCGUGAAAAAAUCGUCGGCGACGGCGGCGCGGCGCGGCGGCGCACACGUCUUUCAAAGUGUAUUGGAGGCCAUUUGUAUUUCACGGAAUGUCCAGCUACCACAAUAUCAAGUUGCUCAUAGAAUUAUGAGGUAUAAUGGACAUCAACGUGACUAAAUUUCUUGAACAUAGUGAACACAAACUAUGGUAGAUGUUUCAGAUCUUAAGAAAAUGAAUUCCAGAGUAGUUUGGAUGGAUGACCUAGAUCACCCAAUUCAAGUACCAUUAAUUUUCUAGGGGUGCUUAGAGGCUUUUUGAGUACCGUAGACAAUGUUCUGUAAUCAUUCAUCGUGUAUAAAAUUUGGUUGAGAAUGUUUGAUUUGUGUCACAAACUUCGGAGUACUUUGGAGGCCUUAGAAUAGCUCUGGGGUCAAAACUUCAACAGACUAUGAUGGGUAGUAAUACAUUGCAUGUCUAGGGUCAGUGAAAACUUUUGAUGAUUAGCAAAACGAUGAAAUUUGAGCAAAAACAUGUAGAAUUUAUAAAAAUGAAAAAAAAAGCCACGUAUUUUCGCCUCCCCGCAAAAGGGGGGAGGGUGCAAAGGGGGGAGGUACCAUGCAUUUCUUAGCACAACUAUUCCCCUUGACUAUAAAAAAAAUCCGGGGUAAAAUGUUUUAAAACAAAGAAGAUGUUGCAUUUCUGCCAAAAUUAGAUCGUCCCAGGUGUUUACGGGUUAAUAAAAGUACUUCUAUUACAACCUUAUACGGAUAAAUACGUUUGAUAGUAUUUUAUUUAACCUAUGUGCUGUGAAAUUUUGACACGAUUUGAAUCAGCUUUCACAUAGUUAUUCAGAUAUUUCGAAAUCGCCUAAAAGAUUUCUGAAGGACUGAAAACAAACCAUCAGCCGUAAAAAAAUGCUGUAAUGUAUAGUUUAUUGCAUUGAUAACUGGACUGCGACAGAGUGCGAAAUCUUAAAUAAAAGUGCGAUAUUGCAUCAAAUCGUUCCGGUGUCUUCACCGCACUUAUUCAUCAUGAGCUAAUGAAUAAGUGCGACGAAGACACCGAAAUGAUGUGACACCAAAUCGCACUUUUAUUUGAGAUUCCGCACUUCCUCGUCGCACUUUAUACUGCGCAAUGCGCAAUACUAUCGAAAUCACUUGUAGGCUACAAGUAGGGUACAAGUUGUAGCCAAAACAUAGUCGUUUGUCCAGGAGUAGUUUUGGAAAACAAUAUGCUAGAAGAAAACUGUUUUUGAUUUCGAGAAAAUAUGAGGGGGGCAAAGUCUCCACAGGGAUCGAGUCUCCUCAGUCUCCCCUACAGAGAACAGA